GUCUGCUUCUUGCUUUCUUCUUGAGACAUUUCUCCACAAUGUUGGUCGGGUUGUUUCAUCUAAGAGCAUCAUUAUCUGUGUUAGCAGUUCCCCAGAUCUUUGCUCUUCGAGGUCUGCAGAUUAGUGCCAGUCCACGAAGAAUUCGUGAAGAGUUCAUUGGCCGUUUGGGAGGAGACAAGGUUAUCGUGCACGCUCCCCUUCAAGAGACGGCACCAGCAGGUUGGGAGAUGCCAUUUGGCUCUUGAAAUAAUCCCUAAAAAGCUCACUGAAUGCCCUCCUAUACCAAAGGUUUAGGAGAAACCAGCAAGGAAUGAAAUGGCUAGCUUAAGAAAAUGAAGAGGGUGCUUCCGACUGUGCAAACCUCACAGACAUUUUUUCAACAACACUGACAGAAGAGGCAUCUAGUAAGAUGGGACAUGAAGCCUGGACUCUCUGUAGCCUCACCUGCAUCAUCUCAAAUCGCUGCGUCUCCGGCGCAGCCAAUCGCCACUCAAUAAUCCUUUUACAUGGCUCAUCAGCCAAGGAUUCACCUGCUUCCCGUUCGAGCUUCCACCACCAGUGUACGGAUCCUGGGGUGGGGGAAGACGACCCUAAUCCUCUCCCCCGAGCUGUUCAUCCAAACUUGGUUCGAUUCUCAGCAUAAACGUCUUCUGCCGGGUUCCGAGCACCAAAAGAGUCAUAGUCAAAUAAAACUUAAUAACUGCUGCCUUUCCUCUGUGUGAGUCUCUCCGGAUUUGAAAUCCAGUUGAAACCAGAUAUUUGCAUACGCUGGAUAAAGAGACACUCUUCUUUUUUUUUUUUUUUCUCACUGACCAAACCUUCCUUGCUUGUGUUCAGUUAAAAUAACCCAAAUUAUUUCUACUUUCCAAAUCCCAGAAAACUUUACGUGUUUUUGUAACUUUCCUUGAAUUCAAAAGCUUGGUCAGUUUCAGGGUUAACUGUCUUUUAAAAUGUACGACUUGGGUCAAACCGUUUGGGUCUCCUUCUAAUAGCCUCGGAUAGGAUAGCUGACAGAUUGGAGUUACCUGGAGGAACAUGUGGAAGUAUUUUAGGGCCACGUCUGAAACACAUUGAUGUUUUGC
Molecule: long non-coding RNA, 1082 nt
Organism: Gambusia affinis (western mosquitofish)
Lineage: Eukaryota; Metazoa; Chordata; Actinopteri; Cyprinodontiformes; Poeciliidae
Exons: 3
Source: RefSeq, a predicted model, not a curated record